GACUUACCUGCAGAACUCAUCACGGCAGGUGAAGAACUAUGGAUCAGUUUGCAGGUUGGCCGGGCAUCUUCUCCCUCCAGAGGCUGAGCUAUGGAUGACUCGGAGCUGCCUUCAUCUAAGUCUUCAUAGUACCUCUGAGAUAGGAAGGCUGACCGGGACAGGCUGGCUGCAGAAGGCCCACCCCAAAACAACAUUAGACAACUCAAAGCAAACCCAGAAGCGGUGCCAUUUCAGUGCUAAGAGAGACAGACCACAAAGCACUUUCAUUAUCUUAUACCUUAGGUGGAAGCCGCUAUUGCUGAAUGUGAAUAAUGAUAAUUUGUGGUCUUUGCUCAAAACUAAGCUUUGAAAACUAAGUUGCUAGGACAAAGACAGCUUUGACCAUCAGACAAGACUGAAAAUGAGAGCAAUAGUCAACACUGGUAGAAAAACAAGAGAUUAAGUUCUCACAGCGAACAGACGGUGUCAGAGGCCAGCUCCCGGGGCAGGCUAGUUAGCCACAGCAUCACCCCUGCUUUCCAACCUCAGAACACCGGAGUGAGAGGGCCUAA
This 551-nucleotide long non-coding RNA is filed under the name Mus caroli (Ryukyu mouse). RNAcentral's name for it is "lncRNA (MGP_CAROLIEiJ_G0003160.1)". Lineage: Eukaryota; Metazoa; Chordata; Mammalia; Rodentia; Muridae. The record is from RNAcentral.